GCCCAUGUAGUAUAAUGGUAGUACACCACGUUGUGGCCGUGGAGACCCGAGGUCGAUACUCGGCGUGGGCA
Non-coding RNA from Hamiltosporidium tvaerminnensis, 71 nucleotides. The record is from the annotation of a GenBank genome assembly. NCBI's taxonomy places the organism in Eukaryota, Fungi, Microsporidia, Dubosqiidae.